UGAAUCCAGCAGUGUGACUAUUCGUGC
RNAcentral lists this non-coding RNA (27 nucleotides) under Homo sapiens (human). Lineage: Eukaryota; Metazoa; Chordata; Mammalia; Primates; Hominidae. The record is from RNAcentral.